Molecule: ribosomal RNA, 253 nt
Filed under: uncultured bacterium
Lineage: Bacteria
Description: partial 16S ribosomal RNA
Rfam family: Bacterial small subunit ribosomal RNA
Source: RNAcentral
GACAGAGGGGGCAAGCGUUGCUCGGAAUCACUGGGCGUAAAGGGUGCGUAGGCGGGCCUUUAAGUCAGGGGUGAAAUCCUGGAGCUCAACUCCAGAACUGCGUUUGAUACUGAGGAUCUUGAGUUCGGGAGAGGUGAGUGGAACUGCGAGUGUAGAGGUGAAAUUCGUAGAUAUUCGCAAGAACACCAGUGGCGAAGGCGGCUCACUGGCCCGAUACUGACGCUGAGGCACGAAAGCGUGGGGAGCAAACAGG